GAUGAACGCUGGCGGCGUGCUUAACACAUGCAAGUCGAACGAUGAAGCCCAGCUUGCUGGGUGGAUUAGUGGCGAACGGGUGAGUAACACGUGAGUAACCUGCCCUUGACUCUGGGAUAAGCGCUGGAAACGGCGUCUAAUACCGGAUACGAGCUUCCACCGCCUGGUGAGUUGCUGGAAAGAAUUUCGGUCAAGGAUGGACUCGCGGCCUAUCAGGUAGUUGGUGAGGUAACGGCUCACCAAGCCGACGACGGGUAGCCGGCCUGAGAGGGUGACCGGCCACACUGGGACUGAGACACGGCCCAGACUCCUACGGGAGGCAGCAGUGGGGAAUAUUGCACAAUGGGCGCAAGCCUGAUGCAGCAACGCCGCGUGAGGGACGAAGGCCUUCGGGUCGUAAACCUCUUUUAGCAGGGAAGAAGCGAAAGUGACGGUACCUGCAGAAAAAGCACCGGCUAACUACGUG
This 466-nucleotide ribosomal RNA is filed under the name uncultured bacterium. RNAcentral's name for it is "partial 16S ribosomal RNA". It matches the Rfam family "Bacterial small subunit ribosomal RNA", at positions 28 to 507 of the family's 1533-position model. The record is from RNAcentral.